UUUCCGUAGGUGAACCUGCGGAAGGAUCAUUGUCGAAGCCUGCCAAGCAGGAUGACCGGUGGAUAUGUUUUUAACCGAUGGAGAUUCGAGUGUCAAUACGAAUCUCGUUUCUCCCAUGUCUUCGAUGCACGAGAGAAAACCAUCGUGCCCUACUGUUCAAGACUCGAUGUCUUAAUUGCGAUUCGGUCGAAUGCAAUUUAGUGUGUGAGUUGGUUGCUCCUCGUGUGUCGCCUGACACCAACAAAGAAAUCGGCGCGGAAUGUGCCAAGGAAAUCAAUUCCAAAGGGAAUGCUCUUCUGACAUGUCAUUGAUGUGCUCGGUAGGAUGCGCUCUGUGUUAUAACAAAAUGACUCUCGGCAACGGAUAUCUUGGCUCUCGUAUCGAUGAAGAACGCAGCAAAAUGCGAUACCUAGUGUGAAUUGCAGAAUCCCGCGAAUCAUUUAGUUUUUGAACGCAAGUUGCGCCCGAAGCCAAUAGGCUAAGGGCACGUCUGCCUGGGCAUCACGCACCGUGUUACCCCUCGUGUUCAGGGCAUGGGGGGUGAAUGAUGGUUUCCCGUGUGACGUUAGCACGGUUAGCCGAAAUAGGGAGUCUUCGGUGGCACGCCUCAUGACAAGUUGUGGAUUACGAUGUCUGGUGUGCGUUGCCAUGCGAUGACCUACAAAGGCCCUUUGAUCUCGUUUACCCUUUAAGAAGAUGCAGAUCACUUGCGACCCC
RNAcentral lists this unclassified non-coding RNA (717 nucleotides) under Antidaphne andina. RNAcentral's name for it is "sequence contains ITS1, 5.8S rRNA gene, ITS2". The stretch from base 349 to 504 matches the Rfam family "5.8S ribosomal RNA". The record is from RNAcentral. Lineage: Eukaryota; Viridiplantae; Streptophyta; Magnoliopsida; Santalales; Santalaceae.